GGACCAAGGAGUCUAGCAUGUGCGCGAGUCAUUGGGAUUCAGCGAAACCUAAAGGCGAAAUGAAAGUGAAGGUUGGCCUCGCGCCGACCUAGGGAGGAUGGGCGGCUCCACAAGGGCCGUCCCGCACUCCCGGGGCGUCUCCAUCUCAUUGCGAGAAGAGGCGCACCCAGAGCGUACACGCUGGGACCCGAAAGAUGGUGAACUAUGCCUGGUCAGGACGAAGUCAGGGGAAACCCUGAUGGAGGUCCGUAGCGAUUCUGACGUGCAAAUCGAUCGUCGGAACUGGGUAUAGGGGCGAAAGACUAAUCGAACCAUCUAGUAGCUGGUUCCCUCCGAAGUUUCCCUCAGGAUAGCUGGCGCUCGCUUAAGCGAGUCUCAUCCGGUAAAGCGAAUGAUUAGAGGCAUUGGGGUCGAAACGGCCUCAACCUAUUCUCAAACUUUAAAUGGGUGAGAUCUCCGGCUUGCUCGAACUUGAAGCCGCGAGAUCUGAGGUGGCGUUUUAUGCGUCGCCUUAACUAGGAUCAGAGUGCCAAGUGGGCCACUUUUGGUAAGCAGAACUGGCGCUGUGGGAUGAACCAAACGCAGAGUUAAAGCGCCCAAAUCGACGCUUAUGGGAUACCAUGAAAGGCGUU
Molecule: ribosomal RNA, 632 nt
Filed under: Agraphydrus sp. 19 MTM-2009
Lineage: Eukaryota; Metazoa; Arthropoda; Insecta; Coleoptera; Hydrophilidae
Also listed under: 3 other names
Description: eukaryotic LSU rRNA
Rfam family: Eukaryotic large subunit ribosomal RNA
Source: RNAcentral